This is a long non-coding RNA of Chenopodium quinoa (quinoa), 913 nucleotides long. RefSeq lists it as uncharacterized. The transcript is spliced from 3 exons. The record is from RefSeq and is a predicted model, not a curated record. NCBI's taxonomy places the organism in Eukaryota, Viridiplantae, Streptophyta, Magnoliopsida, Caryophyllales, Amaranthaceae.
UUAGCUUUAUAAAAAAAAAAAAAAAAAAAACACAUAUACGUACAAGGUACAACGUACUGACGUAGUAGGUACUUAGGUAGAACAAAUUAAGAGUACCAUUUUCUCACAUCCUAAGGCCAUAAUUAUUUUAUAAUCAGAACCGAAAUUAAUUACCCAUCAUUUAGACAUUAUAAGAUAUGAUCGAUCAAAUGCACAUCAUUUAGACAAAAGAUAGAUUACUUUUGUUUGUUCCAAGUUUUUUUUUUAUCCGUGAAAAAGUUAACUGUUCUGGAAGAUGCUGAGAUCAAUUUUGUUGAAGGAUACUGCUCGAUUGAACUCCAGGCUUUCUGGAUUUAACCAAUUGAGAGGAUUGCACAGCAGAAACAAGAACAGACGGGUCGACGGUUUCAGGUGUAUACUCGGCGUCCAAGAACCUUGGGGCAGCAACAACAACAGCAACAGCACACUGAUCAGCAAGAAGACACAAACAGCAGCAACUACUCAGGCAGCAGGGAUGCAAGGCAGUAAACAACAAACAUGCUAGAAGGGAGACUAGUUUUGGGAAGAGACUAUUUUGAGCAAGGCAACAAGGCAAAGCAGAUGUUUCACUGUUUGGGAAAUAAGACUUUAGACUCUUAUUUCCUUACUUUUGUAUUAUCUAUUUUUAGCACUUGAGGAAAUCAAAAUUGUAAUAUAAUGAAAGGCUUAUAGCCGUUAGCUAUUACAACUUGAAUUGCUUUUUGUUAGCCUGUCUUCCUUGGUUCUUCUCCUGUAAAUGCUACAUGAUGGGCUGGGUUGUUUAUUGUUUUUAGAAUUUUUCUGCCAUCGUUAGUAAAUGCAGCAUAAAGUUUGAUAAGACCUCUUAUUAUGGUAAUACAGGUCACACUGUUCCAGAGUCCAUAACUAAGUUCAACUUGAAGAAACGAAAGGCUGG